Molecule: transfer RNA, 84 nt
Filed under: Roseibacillus sp.
Lineage: Bacteria; Pseudomonadati; Verrucomicrobiota; Verrucomicrobiia; Verrucomicrobiales; Verrucomicrobiaceae
Description: tRNA-Leu
Rfam family: tRNA
About the family: Transfer RNA (tRNA) molecules are approximately 80 nucleotides in length. Their secondary structure includes four short double-helical elements and three loops (D, anti-codon, and T loops). Further hydrogen bonds mediate the characteristic L-shaped molecular structure. tRNAs have two regions of fundamental functional importance: the anti-codon, which is responsible for specific mRNA codon recognition, and the 3' end, to which the tRNAs corresponding amino acid is attached (by aminoacyl-tRNA synthetases). tRNAs cope with the degeneracy of the genetic code in two manners: having more than one tRNA (with a specific anti-codon) for a particular amino acid; and 'wobble' base-pairing, i.e. permitting non-standard base-pairing at the 3rd anti-codon position.
Source: RNAcentral
GCCGCCGUGGCGGAAUUGGUAGACGCUGCGGACUUAAAAUCCGCUUCCGGCAACGGAGUGAGGGUUCGAGUCCCUCCGGCGGCA